RNAcentral lists this ribosomal RNA (443 nucleotides) under uncultured bacterium. Its description in RNAcentral is "partial 16S ribosomal RNA". It matches the Rfam family "Bacterial small subunit ribosomal RNA", at positions 338 to 795 of the family's 1533-position model. The record is from RNAcentral.
CCUACGGGAGGCAGCAGUGGGGAAUAUUGGGCAAUGGGCGCAAGCCUGACCCAGCAACGCCGCGUGAAGGAAGAAGGUCUUCGGGUUGUAAACUUCUUUUCUCAGGGACGAAGACAGUGACGGUACCCCAGGAAUAAGCCACGGCUAACUACGUGCCAGCAGCCGCGGUAAUACGUAGGUGGCAAGCGUUAUCCGGAUUUACUGGGUGUAAAGGGCGUGUAGGCGGGGAAGCAAGUCAGAUGUGAAAUCCACGGGCUCAACCUCGGCCCUGCAGCUGAAACUGUUGGUCUUGAGUGCUGGAGAGGCAGGUGGAAUUCCUAGUGUAGCGGUGAAAUGCGUAGAUAUUAGGAGGAACACCAGUGGCGAAGGCGAUCUACUGGACAGCAACUGACGCUGAGGCGCGAAAGCGUGGGGAGCAAACAGGAUUAGAUACCCCGGUAGUC